UCAGCGUCCACUUCAGUAAAGAUGCCAGCUGUGCUGUAUUUUGAGCAAUUAAACUCUUUAUUCCUAGAUUUGGCUGUAAUCAAGCUUGGUUUGGCAGGAGCUCCUAGAAAGCACAUUUGGCCAGCUGGCAGGUCAGGCACCGUCCCCCCUUUAGUUGCAUUUUAUGUGUAAAAAUUAUUAUAAACAAAAAUGUUUUGAUGUUUUUUU
This is a non-coding RNA of Pelobates cultripes (western spadefoot toad), 207 nucleotides long. Lineage: Eukaryota; Metazoa; Chordata; Amphibia; Anura; Pelobatidae. The record is from the annotation of a GenBank genome assembly.